This 373-nucleotide ribosomal RNA is filed under the name uncultured bacterium. Its description in RNAcentral is "bacterial SSU rRNA". It matches the Rfam family "Bacterial small subunit ribosomal RNA", at positions 527 to 898 of the family's 1533-position model. The record is from RNAcentral.
GUAGGGUGCGAGCGUUAAUCGGAAUUACUGGGCGUAAAGCGUGCGCAGGCGGUUUUGUAAGACAGGUGUGAAAUCCCCGGGCUUAACCUGGGAACUGCGCUUGUGACUGCAAGACUCGAGUACGGCAGAGGGGGGUAGAAUUCCACGUGUAGCAGUGAAAUGCGUAGAGAUGUGGAGGAAUACCGAUGGCGAAGGCAGCCCCCUGGGUCGAUACUGACGCUCAUGCACGAAAGCGUGGGGAGCAAACAGGAUUAGAUACCCUGGUAGUCCACGCCCUAAACGAUGCGAACUAGGUGUUGGGGAAGGAGACUUCCUUAGUACCGCAGCUAACGCGUGAAGUUCGCCGCCUGGGGAGUACGGUCGCAAGAUUAAA